GAUUGCUUUUAUGUCUAGGGGUCAGAGGAACAUGUUAGAGUGAAGCCAAGUUUUAAAAGGAAGGUUCAAAUAUGCACUAGGUUUUGCCCAGGAUCCAGGAGGAAGCAUUGUGUAUAAAGAAGGGAGAAUAUCCUGAGUGGGUCUGACUUAACCAGGUGGGCUGGUAAAAGAGACAAAAGGUAACAACAGAUUCUCUUGCUGGAGUUGAAAAAGUCAGUUACUAUGUUUUAAGAUGAGAAGUCCACAUGGCAAGAACGUGAGAAUGGUCCCUGACUGACAGCCAGCAAGAAAACAGGGAUCUUGGUCGUAUAACUUCAAGCAAAUGAAUUCUUUCAAUAACCAGUGAGCUUUGAAGGGAUCUUGAAUUUCAGAUGAAAUCACAUCCUUGGGAAACAUUUUGAUUUUAGCCUAGUGAGACCUGGAGGACCUGGCUAACCCAUACCCAGACUCCUGACCCAAGGAAUCUGUGAGAUAAUAAAUCUGUGUUGUUUUAGUGACUCAGUUUGUGGUGGUUUGUUCUGUGGGAAUAGAAAAUGAAUACACAUACUGUUUCUUGUCUACCCC
This 564-nucleotide long non-coding RNA is filed under the name Homo sapiens (human). Its description in RNAcentral is "non-protein coding LINC00536:4". The record is from RNAcentral. Lineage: Eukaryota; Metazoa; Chordata; Mammalia; Primates; Hominidae.